Molecule: ribosomal RNA, 292 nt
Filed under: uncultured bacterium
Lineage: Bacteria
Also listed under: 1 other name
Description: partial 16S ribosomal RNA
Source: RNAcentral
GGACUACACGGGUAUCUAAUCCCGUUUGCUCCCCUAGCUUUCGUGCCUCAGUGUCAGUAACUGUCCAGAGAUCCGCCUUCGCCACUGGUGUUCCUCUCGAUAUCUACGCAUUUCACUGCUACACCGAGAAUUCCGAUCUCCUCUCCAGUACUCUAGCCGGGUAGUUUCGAAUGCAGUUCUACAGUUAAGCUGUAGGAUUUCACAUUUGACUUACCCAACCACCUACGCACCCUUUACGCCCAGUAAAUCCGAACAACGCUUGGCACCUCUGUAUUACCGCGGCUGCUGGCAC